Non-coding RNA from Theobroma cacao (cacao), 163 nucleotides. The record is from RefSeq and is a predicted model, not a curated record. NCBI's taxonomy places the organism in Eukaryota, Viridiplantae, Streptophyta, Magnoliopsida, Malvales, Malvaceae.
GAAAAAGUGUGAGAUUUCAAGGAAUUAAGCUAAUAAAGGUGGUGAAUCCUCUGAUAAAAGUAAGGGAAUUGCACCCGAGGACCAGUAAUCUGAGUACUUCAAAAAUUCCCAUUCUAGACAUUGUUCAGAUUAAACUGUAGAUAGUUGAUCUCAUCGAGGACUA